UGACCCCAUGACAAUGGAGUUUUCUACUAUUGAUGGCCCUCCCAUGGACAGAGUUUGUGAUGAAGACAUAUGUAUCGUGGAGGCAGAUGAAGGCAGUCUCGGGAUGUUUCUAACGUACCAAGACUAUGACAGAAGCAUGAUCAUUUAUUGGCAAAGUGAAGGUGAUAUUUCCGGACCAUGGCGCGAAGAGAAAAGAAUUGUUGUAGGUGACAUGUGUAGAGUUUUUUCUUCCGAAGGGAGACAUGUAUUUGGACAUGAUACUAUUGCAUGUUUCUCAUUGGAUGCCAAAGCAUUGGAGCUCGAGAGGGUAUGUUACAUGAUUCUGGAUGAGGCGUACCCAUAUAGCAAUCUUCCACUACCGUACGCAUUACCCACCGUAGCAUCAGGCCCCAAAGAGACGCAGCAGACCAGAACGAUUGCUGAGGAGAUGGAGGACGCUCAGGAGAUGGAGGAUGACGAGUACCUGUUCUAGGACCUUGAAGUGGAUUUUCAGUUACUAGAAGAGGAGAAUGACAACGAUGACGACUUCUUGUCAGAGCCUACAGUGACUUUUGAGUUAACAGCCGAGGAGACGCAUAAGCAGGUGGCUGCAGCCAUUGGACACUCGAAUGUCUGGAACUCGCACCCCAAGAACUACGGCCCCGGAUCCAGGGUUUGCCGUGUCUGUGGCAACUCACAUGGCCUGAUCCGCAAGUACGGGCUAAUGUGCUGCAGGCAGUGUUUCCGCAGCAACGCCAAGGACAUUGGCUUCAUCAAGUACCGUUAAGAUUGGAAACCUCAAAAGGAAGCAUGGAGUAGGAUGUCAUCGUCAAAGUGUGUUGAUUCAUAAGGACUAUCUGUAUUAUAUAUUAUGUAAUGAACUAAAUGUUUGAAUCAGAGUAACAAACCUUUGAAACUGUGCUGCCGACUUCUGCUUGAGCAUGUGAAUCAGAUAAUUCUGUUGCUA
Molecule: long non-coding RNA, 946 nt
Organism: Triticum aestivum (bread wheat)
Lineage: Eukaryota; Viridiplantae; Streptophyta; Magnoliopsida; Poales; Poaceae
Exons: 4
Source: RefSeq, a predicted model, not a curated record